GUGAGUAACGCGUGGGCAACCUGCCCCCAAAGCUCGGGAUAACACUCCGAAAGGAGUGCUAAUACCGGAUGUAGUUGCGGUACUGCAUGGUACUGCAAAAAAAGGAGAAAUCCACUUUGGGAUGGGCCCGCGUCUGAUUAGCUAGUUGGUGGGGUAACGGCCUACCAAGGCGACGAUCAGUAGCCGACCUGAGAGGGUGAUCGGCCACACUGGGACUGAGACACGGCCCAGACUCCUACGGGAGGCAGCAGUCGGGAAUAUUGGUCAAUGGGGGAAACCCUGAACCAGCAAUGCCGCGUGAGUGAUGAAGGUUUUCGGAUCGUAAAGCUCUGUCUUUGGGGACGAAUAAAUGACGGUACCCGAGGAGGAAGCCCCGGCUAACUACGUGCCAGCAGCCGCGGUAAUACGUAGGGGGCGAGCGUUGUCCGGAAUUACUGGGCGUAAAGGGCGAGUAGGCGGUUUAAUAAGUCAGAUGUGAAAUGCCAGGGCUCAACCCUGGAACUGCAUUUGAAACUAUUAGACUUGAGUGCAGGAGAGGAAAGUGGAAUUCCCAGUGUAGCGGUGAAAUGCGUAGAUAUUGGGAGGAACACCAGUGGCGAAGGCGACUUUCUGGACUGUAACUGACGCUGAGGCGCGAAAGCGUGGGGAGCAAACAGGAUUAGAUACCCU
RNAcentral lists this ribosomal RNA (669 nucleotides) under uncultured bacterium. Its description in RNAcentral is "bacterial SSU rRNA". It matches the Rfam family "Bacterial small subunit ribosomal RNA", at positions 106 to 788 of the family's 1533-position model. The record is from RNAcentral.